RNAcentral lists this unclassified non-coding RNA (1045 nucleotides) under Leishmania donovani. RNAcentral's name for it is "gene:LdHU3.30.4680(CDS-product:zinc-binding_prote in_(Yippee)_putative)". The record is from RNAcentral. Lineage: Eukaryota; Euglenozoa; Kinetoplastea; Trypanosomatida; Trypanosomatidae.
CAGCGUAGUCGUGCCGUCCCCACAAGCGAGAGAGCGGGAGGCAGAGAGGCAAAGCGACAGACGAGGGCGGCCGUCUCCUCCGUGGCCGUCGCGGCGUGGGCACUGCCGCUUCGCUAUUGGCGGAAAUUUCCUGCAUCUUUUCCUACGGUUACUUUCUUUUUCUGUCGUUGUUGGGAGCUCGUGGAGGACCGCCUUGUCAGCGGCCAUGGUGAGGCGUCUUCGCACGCGCCUCGCUGCACCGAGCGGCGGCGAGGGCGGCUUUGGCUGCGCCUUCUGUGGCGCUCACCUCUGCAUCGCCGAGGACAUCGUCUCCGACAACUUUCGCGGCCGCCACGGCAAGGCCUUCCUUGUCUCCCGCUGCGAGAACACCUACUACGGCCAUCAGGAGGAGAAGCAGCUGAUGACGGGGCUGCACCGCGUGCGCGACGUAUUUUGCUCCAACUGUGACCAGUACGUCGGCUGGGGAUACGACUUCGCGGUCGAUGAGCGCGAGAUGUACAAGAUGCAGCGCUUCGUGCUGGAGCGCCAGCUCAUUCGGGUCAUCACUCACGGGCAGCUGCGCGGGGCCCUGGGCUACAGCAUCCCUGAUGGCAGCAUCACCUUUGCUUUGCCUGUCGCGCGCUCGUAUACAUUGGAAUAGCCGCAGGUGAGGAAGAGUGGUUUGGCCGCACUUGUGUCUCCGCACAGCGUUGCCACGGUACUCUCUAGACGAGUUUCAAUCAUCCCUGCGCAACGCCGCGGCGCAUCAACCGAGUGCUGCAGGCGGCGAGCUCCCUCAUUCAUCGUCUCUUCUUCCAUUAUUGUGGGGCGGCCGCUCUUCUCUCUCUCUCCCUCGCCGCUCUGACGUCCACUCGCAAAACAGAAAGCAAAAUAAGGAUGGCUCAACCCCUUCUGCUUCGACACGUUUGCUGUUGCCUUUUACUCUCUGUUGCACUGCACCAAUGCGGUGGCGUUGUCCUUCAGUUUACUUGCUGGCGCCCCCCCCCUCAGCAGGAAGCGGCAUCGAUGAUCGACAAGCGCGCCUUCGUGCGGCUGCCACUGAACG